Molecule: ribosomal RNA, 232 nt
Filed under: uncultured eukaryote
Lineage: Eukaryota
Description: partial 18S ribosomal RNA
Rfam family: Eukaryotic small subunit ribosomal RNA
Source: RNAcentral
CGUAGUUGGAGUUCAGAGUGAGCUCAGUUGGUCGGCCUAAUUGGUCAGAACUGGCUGACUCUCCCUUGUUUCUGAAUCCCGGUCGGAGUUAAUUCUUCGUUCGUGGACUUCAGAUCGUUUACCUUGAAAAAAUUAGAGUGUUCAAAGCGGGCGUUUGCUUGAAUACAUUAGCAUGGAAUAAUGGAAUAGGACUUUGGUUCUAUUUUGUUGGUUUUGAGGACCAGAGUAAUGA